UUUAGGAGUUGUUGGCUGUUACUGUUUUUGGAGGAACAAGGCGAGGAGGAAGCAGCACACUGAAAUGGAGAAAAGCAGUGAUGCCGAUGAUCUUCCGUUCAGGGUAAGGAAAAGCCCUGCGUUGAGCCCAGCAAGGGAUCAAUGGUUUGAUGAGAACAGGGGUGCUGAAGAUGAUCUUGACCUUCCGUUGUUUGAUCUUGAGAUGAUUUUCAACGCAACAGACAGAUUCGCAGCGCAUAAUAAGAUUGGGGAAGGUGGAUUCGGCCCUGUUUACAUGGUAAGAUAACAUAUAUUUUAGAACAUUCAAGACAACAUCCAAUAGAUUAUACGAUGGUAAUUUUUCAUAAACUGUAAUGUGUAAGACAAAUAAAAUUAUGAGCAGGGAAGACUUGAGGAUGGGCAAGAAGUAGCCGUGAAGAGGUUGUCCAAAAGAUCAGUACAGGGGGUUGUUGAAUUUAAGAACGAGGUCAAACUAAUUGCCAAGCUUCAGCACAGAAACCUUGUCAGGCUACUAGGUUGCUGCAUUGAUGAUGACGAGAGGAUACUGUUAUACGAGCACAUGCACAACAAGAGCCUAGACACGUUCAUAUUUGGUCAGUUCAUUUCUACAUAAACAUUACAUAAUUAUUUUUCUCAAUUAAAUGUAUACACAUAGUGUUUUGUUGUACUAAACAUAUUUCUGCAGACGAAGGAAAUCGUAAACUGCUAAGUUGGAACAAACGGUUUGAGAUCAUUCUAGGGAUUGCACGGGGCCUAUUAUAUCUCCAUGAAGAUUCAAGGUUUAGGAUCAUCCACAGGGAUCUGAAGGCAAGCAACGUGUUAUUAGACAGAAACAUGGUACCAAAAGUCUCAGACUUCGGCAUCGCGAGAAUGUUUGAAGGUGAUCAAACCACUGCAUACACUAGAAAGGUCAUCGGAACGUAGUGAGUACUCUCGUAGUUUGUUUAUAUGUAUAUAGCUACAAAACUGGGACUGCACAAUGACUUUCGAGAUGGUCCAGUGGCUAUAUGUCUCCAGAGUAUGCAAUGGACGGUGUGUUUUCCAUGAAAUCCGACGUCUUCAGCUUUGGCGUCCUAGUACUGGAGAUUGUCGCCGGCAGGAGGAAUCGAGGCUUUUGUGAAUCCGAAAUUAAUCUCAACCUCCUCAGAUAUGUAAGUGCAAAUUAUUUGUCACAAUUGCUCUGGUGAAUCUUGUCACAUUAUUGCCUUAUUGGCAUUUUGAUGAUUUUCCAGGCAUGGAUGUUGUGGAAAGAAGGUAAGAGUGUGGACUUACUGGAUGAGUUAAUUGGAGACAUCUUUGAUGACAACGAAGUGUUGAGAUGUGUACACGUCGCUCUGUUGUGCGUUGAAGUGGAACCCAAGAACAGACCAUUGAUGUCUUCAGUUGUUAUGAUGCUAGCCAGUGAGAAUGCCACGUUGCCACAGCCAAAUGAGCCUGGAGUGAACAUUGGGAAGAUCACAUUAGACACAGAAUCAUCUCAUGGACUUACCAGCAAUGGUGUGACGACAACUACAAUAGAGGCUAGGUAGUCUGAAACAGUAAAUUCUCCUUGCUCUAACAGUAAGUCUGUAGUUCUGUAUAGCGAGUCAAAACCUCAUGCAAAGCUCUGCUGAAACUAGUUCACUUAUAACGAGUCUUGAAAACUUGUAAGUUGUAAGACCACAUUAGACAAGGUCAUGAUUGUUGCAAUGCACUAGUUGUAGGUUAGAGACAUUGUCUGGCGUGUGAUGGAGCCGACAAAACUGGUUAAAUGAUUUGUGUAAAAGGCUAACAGUAUUUAAGCAUCAUUUCUUAUCGACCGGCCCUCGAUUUGGUCAUGUCCCGAUGUGAUGCGGCAUCUAGGAAUGACAUAGACCACAUCUUGCCUGAUUUUCCUACAUGUGACACUAAAAAUACCAGCCAAUUUGGUCAAUUCAGGCAACUUGCUGCAAUAUUAGUUGUGAUGUCGGAUUCAUGUGGAAUCCUCCGUUUCAGAUAUCUAUUUCAAGUACAACAGCUAAAUCAUCACCAUCAAACAGACUCUGAAAUGAACAUAGAUGGGAUAAUUUCGACUCAAUUGUGAUUUUUCUUGCCAGGCUGGUUGUUGGAAGAACCCCAGCAAAGUUUUUAUCAAGUUAAAAGAGGGAUACAAAGGGCAAACUGGUAGAAAUGCUGUCAGCAUGAAGGUUCUUCUACUAAAAAAAACGAAGGACUGGAUGUUUAAAUGAGUCCGUGAGAAUGAGACUGUAAGCAAAUAUAAUCAACUAUAAUCUUCAAACAGUUUUUAUCAGGUGAAUUAGUGAACGACGAAGACACCUACCGUAUUUCACUUUCUUGCCCCUGCUGCAACUGAUACUGCAACCUUAUUCGUCACGCCAAUUUGACAAAAUGCAGUUAUGAUUUCUGAAGACGAGACAUGGAAGAAACAAUCUGUUAAUGGUUUCUUACCAGCCAUCCGAUAGCCGUGUCACAACUCACAAACAAUUCACCAUAAAUCUUCAAAUUCGUUUCUUACCAGCCAUCCGAUAGCCGCAUUGCUGUUUCAGGCGAUCACGCGCCCAACCAAACCCCCACACCCCCACGACCGAGGUUUCCAUAGGUUGAUCCGCCUCCCCGACACCGCCGCCCGGCAGCCGCAUCUGACCGCCCGACCGGCUCGGCCGCGAUUUCGUCGGCCGCCGCCGCGCCCAAAUUAUAGGGUUCAUGAGCCGCCGGCCCGCCGCCGUAAGUUCUCGCGGAACGAGUCCCGUCUCUAACCGUACUUCAGUCGCUUGUCUCUUGAGUUAUCUGAGAUGGGACAUGGGCUAAUGGGCCUAACACAAUGGCGCGUCGGCCCAUAUCCAAGAGUUGGCCCAGGCGCUGCAGCUCUGCA
This 2851-nucleotide long non-coding RNA is filed under the name Oryza sativa (Asian cultivated rice). RNAcentral describes it as "long non-coding RNA (OSAT_LNC001560)". The record is from RNAcentral. Lineage: Eukaryota; Viridiplantae; Streptophyta; Magnoliopsida; Poales; Poaceae.